This 501-nucleotide ribosomal RNA is filed under the name uncultured Glomus. RNAcentral describes it as "SSU rRNA". It matches the Rfam family "Eukaryotic small subunit ribosomal RNA", at positions 569 to 1074 of the family's 1831-position model. Lineage: Eukaryota; Fungi; Glomeromycota; Glomeromycetes; Glomerales; Glomeraceae. The record is from RNAcentral.
AGCAGCCGCGGUAAUUCCAGCUCCAAUAGCGUAUAUUAAAGUUGUUGCAGUUAAAAAGCUCGUAGUUGAAUUUCGGGGUUAGUAGGUUGGUCAUGCCUCUGGUAUGUACUGGUCUCACUGAUUCCUCCUUCCUGAUGAACCUUAGUGCCAUUUAUUUGGUGUUUUGGGGAAUUUGGACUGUUACUUUGAAAAAAUUAGAGUGUUUAAAGCAAGCUAACGCUUGAAUACAUUAGCAUGGAAUAAUGAAAUAGGACGUUCGAUCCUAUUUUGUUGGUUUCUAGGAUUGACGUAAUGAUUAAUAGGGAUAGUUGGGGGCAUUAGUAUUCAAUUGUCAGAGGUGAAAUUCUUGGAUUUAUUGAAGACUAACUACUGCGAAAGCAUUUGCCAAGGAUGUUUUCAUUAAUCAAGAACGAAAGUUAGGGGAUCGAAGACGAUCAGAUACCGUCGUAGUCUUAACCAUAAACUAUGCCGACUAGGAAUCGGAUGAUGUUAAUUUUUAAU